UUCCCCACGGACCCUGGUUUCUGAGAGUCUGACUUUUUGCAUGCAUCUUUCCUCUCAGAGGAUGGACAUGACAUCAAAAAUCCCUCUGUCGGUGCCCGGCUCCCCCAUAGGAGCUCACAAAGGCCUGAAACAUACAUGACAUGGUGUCUGGUCCACAGAGAGCUCACAUGGACUUUCCUACAUGUACUUGUCCGGCUCUCAAAGGAAAAAGACAAGACUCGUGACAGAUAUGGGCUAUUGAAGUCGCCUC
This 250-nucleotide long non-coding RNA is filed under the name Manihot esculenta (cassava). Its description in RNAcentral is "long non-coding RNA (MESC_LNC012798)". The record is from RNAcentral. Lineage: Eukaryota; Viridiplantae; Streptophyta; Magnoliopsida; Malpighiales; Euphorbiaceae.